GGCACUGGGAGUAGAGACAAAAAUGAAACUAUUUCUGCCAUUCAAGAGCUUGCGUUCCAUCAAAGGACUCGGUACAUGUUUGUGGAAAAUGAAUUGAUGAUGAUGAAAAGUGCGCUGAAAGAUGCGGAUUGUGAUCAAGAAGUGAAAGAAAGCAGUGAAAGAACAGACUGAUUUCAGAAAAGCCUGAAAGAUUUACAUGAACUGAUGCUGAGUGAAGUGAGCAGAACCAGGAAAAUGUUAUAUAUAGUAUCAACAAGAUUAUGCGAUGAUCAACUGUGAUGGACUUGGCUCUUUUCAACUGUGAGAUGAUUCAAGGCAAUUCUAAUAGACUUGUGAUGGAAAGUGCCAUCCGCAUCCAGAGAGAGAAUUGU
This 371-nucleotide long non-coding RNA is filed under the name Sarcophilus harrisii (Tasmanian devil). RNAcentral's name for it is "lncRNA (ENSSHAG00000020675.1)". Lineage: Eukaryota; Metazoa; Chordata; Mammalia; Dasyuromorphia; Dasyuridae. The record is from RNAcentral.